CCUACGGGAGGCAGCAGUGGGGAAUAUUGCACAAUGGGGGAAACCCUGAUGCAGCGACGCCGCGUGAAGGAUGAAGUAUUUCGGUAUGUAAACUUCUAUCAGCAGGGAAGAAAAUGACGGUAAUUGACCAAGAAGCACCGGCUAACUACGUGCCAGCAGACGCGGGAAUACGUAGGGGGCAAGCGUUAUACGGAUUUACUGGGUGGAAAGGGAGCGGAGACGGUAUGGCAAGUCUGAUGUGAAAACCCGGGGCUUAACCCGGGGAAUGCAUUGGAAACUGCCGGACUAGAGUGUCGGAGAGGCAAGUGGAAUUCCUAGUGUAGCAGUGAAAUGCGUAGAUAUUAGGAGGAACACCAGUGGCGAAGGCGGCUUGCUGGACGAUGACUGACGUUGAGGCUCGAAAGCGUGGGGAGCAAACAGGAUUAGAUACCCUGGUAGUC
This 440-nucleotide ribosomal RNA is filed under the name uncultured bacterium. Its description in RNAcentral is "partial 16S ribosomal RNA". It matches the Rfam family "Bacterial small subunit ribosomal RNA", at positions 338 to 795 of the family's 1533-position model. The record is from RNAcentral.